UGCAGUCGAGCGGACUUACAAAAGCUUGCUUUUGUAAGUUAGCGGCGGACGGGUGAGUAACACGUGGGCAACCUGCCCUUGAGACUGGGAUAACUUCGGGAAACCGGAGCUAAUACCGGAUAAUAUAAGGAACCUCCUGGUUCCUUAUUGAAAGAUGGUUUCGGCUAUCACUUAAGGAUGGGCCCGCGGCGCAUUAGCUAGUUGGUGAGGUAACGGCUCACCAAGGCGACGAUGCGUAGCCGACCUGAGAGGGUGAUCNGCCACACUGGGACUGAGACACGGCCCAGACUCCUACGGGAGGCAGCAGUAGGGAAUCUUCCACAAUGGACGAAAGUCUGAUGGAGCAACGCCGCGUGAGUGAUGAAGGCCUUCGGGUCGUAAAGCUCUGUUGUUAGGGAAGAACAAGUGCGAGAGUAACUGCUCGCACCUUGACGGUACCUAACCAGAAAGCCACG
Molecule: ribosomal RNA, 455 nt
Filed under: Bacillus sp. SP6
Lineage: Bacteria; Bacillati; Bacillota; Bacilli; Caryophanales; Bacillaceae
Description: bacterial SSU rRNA
Rfam family: Bacterial small subunit ribosomal RNA
Source: RNAcentral